Long non-coding RNA from Leopardus geoffroyi (Geoffroy's cat), 3134 nucleotides. RefSeq lists it as uncharacterized. Lineage: Eukaryota; Metazoa; Chordata; Mammalia; Carnivora; Felidae. The transcript has 6 exons. The record is from RefSeq and is a predicted model, not a curated record.
CCCCUCCUUAAAAGUCUCUAGGCGGACUUUACCCAGGUAUGGGCUGAGACCAAUCCACCUGGACUGGCGAUUCAUCAAGCCCCAAUAAUUGUGGAACUUAAGGCGUCCGUGUUUCCAGUAAGACUGAAACAAUAUCCUAUGUCCUGGGAGGCUAGGCGGGGAAUCACUGUUUACAUCAAGCAUUUGCACAACUCGGGCAUUCUGACCCCAUGCAAGUCGCCAUGGAAUACUCCACUUCUCCCUGUCCGAAAGUCUAACUCAUCCGACUUUCGGCCAGUUCAAGAUCUGAGAGCAGUAAACGCCAGAGUAAUGGAUAUUCAUCCCACUGUACCCAACCCGUAUACUCUCCUUAGUCUGCUUCCCCCUUCUGAGGUGUAUUAUACAGUUCUGGACUUAAAAGACGCCUUCUUUGCCAUCCCACUGGCCCCACAGAGCCAGCCACUGUUCGCAUUUGAAUGGACCAAUCCAGAAGAGGGAACAGCUGGACAGCUCACCUGGACGCAACUCCCCCAGGGAUUCAAAAACUCCCCUACUCUUUUCAAUGAAGCCCUGAACCAGGAUUUAGAACCAUUUUGAAUCUCCAAACCGCAGGUAACUCUGUUGCAGUAUGUUGAUGAUAUCUUGCUGGCAGCCCCCUCUCAUUCAGAAUGCCUGAGUGCCACCAAGGAACUCUUGAGUCUUCUGCAAAAACUAGGAUACCGAGUGUCAGCCAAAAAAGCGCAGAUCUGUCACACUGUGGUCACUUAUUUAGGUUACAACAUUAAAAAAGGUAAGCGCUAUCUCGGUGAACAAAGAAUUCAUGCUAUACUCGAUAUUCCUCAGCCUAAAACUCGCAAACAAGCUCGCAAGUUCCUGGGGGCAGCAGGCUAUUGCAGACUAUGGAUACCUGGCUUUGCUGAACUGGCAGUCCCUUUGUAUGCCACUCUCAAGGGGUCUCCGGAGUCCUUCACAUGGGGGGAGACUCAAACUAAAGCCUUCCAAGCUUUACGAGAGGCUCUCAUGACCCCAUUAGCCUUGGCCCUGCCAGAUCCCACUAAGCCAUUCCAUUUGUUUGUAGCUGAGAAAGGGGGAGUAGCUAAGGGAGUUCUGACUCAGCUCCUGGGAACUUGAGGCUGACCAGUGGCCUGUUUAUCCAAAAGGCUAGACCCAGUUGCUUCCAGAUGGCCCACAUGCGUUCGACAGAUAGCUGCCACCGCGCUACUAGUCAAAGAUGCAGAUAAACUAACCCUGGGACAGACAUUGUCUGUUACAGGGCCGCAUGAAGUGGAGGCCUUACUGCGGGCUACCCCAGAACGGUGGCUGUCAAAUGCUUGGAUUACCCAGUAUCGAGCAUUGCUGCUCGACCAGCCCCGGAUACGUUUUUGUGCCCCCGCAGCCUUAAACCCAGCUACUUUGCUGCCCGAAGGACUAGGUCCCCCUCUACAUUCUUGCCCAGAGACCUUAGCUACAGUUUCGUUCCUCUGCUCCGAUCUCACGGACAUUCCCCUACAGGAUCCUGAUAUCAACAUGUUUUCAGAUGGCAGUAGUUUUGUGUUUCAAGGGCAAAGGUAUGAUGUUGCUGCGGUUAGGACAGAGGGCGAGGUUCUAUGGCAAUAGACGCUUCCCCCGGGAACCUCAGCCCAGUGCGCAGAGCUCAUCGCGCUAACUAAAGCUCUGAAAUUCUGUAAAAACAAGUCAGUUAAUGUUUAUACGGACAGCCGCUAUGCCUUUGCAACUGUGCAUGUUCACGGGUCCAUCUAUUAAGUGCGGCCUCCUCAUGGCGAGGGCAAGGACAUCAAAAAGCGGAAAUUCUAGACCUUGUAACAGCCAUCUGGGAACCUGUGAGACUCACGAUCAUUCACAGUCCAGGACCUCAAAAAGGCAACACCCUAGAGGCAGUCGGAAACUGCCUGGCUGAAGCGGCAGCCUGGGAAGCUGCCCUAACUGAAAGUAAAAGUGCUUUGGCGCUACGGAUCUUGAUAGACCCCCUGCUUCCGCAGGAGCCCAAUUAUACUCCUAAAGAUUUGGAGUGGAUUUCAAGAAAAGGAAGAAGUAUGAUACCGGGACAAAAGUGGUUUCAGGAUCCUGAAGGAGACUUAGUUUGGUUCAAGAGGCACAAGCCUGAAACCCUGGAGCCGCUCUGGAAAGGACCACGUACCGUGAUCCUGACUACACCAACGGCUGUGAAGACAGACGGUGUCCGAACCUGGAUUCAUCACUCUCAGGUUAAGAAAAACUGUGUGGAGGCAGAAACACCCAGGACUGAUACGGGACCAGAGAACAAACAGCGAUGGAAGGUCAAAAGGCACCCAGAGGAUCCUUUAAAGAUAAGACUGAUGCGGGAAUAAUAAUUGUCUGGGUUUAUAUAAGCUUGGGAGACUGUGUGGAACUGCACCCCUUGUCUUUUUGGCCAUACUAAUGGGAACUCAGACACUGUCACACGGAAGGUGACUUUCUUACUUCUGCUUUGGACUUACUGUGUGUCAAGUACAGUUACCAUCACUUAAGAUACGGAGGUGAAGGUAACAUGGAAGAAAGACGAACAAGGAAUGACAAAACCCCAAGGCUGUCAUAUGUCAUGGAAACAAGAAGUGGGGACAUCAAAAAUACAUGAAAUAUUCAACACCCUAUUCGGUCCCUAUUAACAAGCUGCUGGAACCAUGACCCUGGAGUGCAGAAAUAUCUGUGCAACUUUAAAUGAAUUAUCAACAAUCAACAUUUUGCCAAGGAAAACCAAUAGUUUAUAGAUCAAAUGAGGAAGCAAAGACACAUGAUGGAGGAACAUGGCAAAACAUUUAGCUAUGACUUUGGCUGAAAGCAGAGUGACCUGGAGACAGAUUCCUUUCUUUUUCUUCACCCCUAGCUCCAAGCUCCAAAAGAUUUAAGUAGGCCAAAAUCAUCAUUACUGAUAAUGUUCCAAGGCAGGGGUCAUUCAUUAUAAACAAAUAAGCACAUGAUCCAGUCUGCCUCAUGCCCAGGAACUACACCUAGGAGUCGUUUCUGGCAGGAGCCCAUCCCUUCUUGAACUUUCUGGGUAUGUCUCCAAUCCACCUUUGCUGCAUUAUAACAAGAAUGCCUGUGACCAUUUUUAGGGUAUGGGGCAUAGGCUUUCAGGAGGUUGCUUUGCAGUAAAUAAUUAUUGAUCCACUGCUUAA